RNAcentral lists this ribosomal RNA (119 nucleotides) under Astraeus sp. ASTRAE-78. RNAcentral's name for it is "partial 5.8S ribosomal RNA". It matches the Rfam family "5.8S ribosomal RNA", at positions 39 to 154 of the family's 154-position model. From Rfam's summary of the family: 5.8S ribosomal RNA (5.8S rRNA) is a component of the large subunit of the eukaryotic ribosome. It is transcribed by RNA polymerase I as part of the 45S precursor that also contains 18S and 28S rRNA. The record is from RNAcentral. Lineage: Eukaryota; Fungi; Basidiomycota; Agaricomycetes; Boletales; Astraeaceae.
NAAGAACGCAGCGAAUCGCGAUAAGUAAUGUGAAUUGCAGAUUUUCCGUGAAUCAUCGAAUCUUUGAACGCACCUUGCGCUCCUUGGUAUUCCGAGGAGCAUGCCUGUUUGAGUGUCAU